Molecule: long non-coding RNA, 213 nt
Filed under: Capsella grandiflora
Lineage: Eukaryota; Viridiplantae; Streptophyta; Magnoliopsida; Brassicales; Brassicaceae
Description: long non-coding RNA (CGRA_LNC001403)
Source: RNAcentral
UUGAUUAGUUAGAGAAAUAUUAGGAAAUCAUAAAAUUAGUUAAGGAAAUAAUCUAAUCUUAAAAUUAGAUUUGGAAAGUAUCCGGUGUAUGUAUUCAAACCCAAUUUAAUAUCCAAUUUUGAAAUAUCCAAUUGUUAAAAUUGGGUUAAUUUUUUAAUUUUGACCCGACCCGUAUUCCUUUGUACUUCUCUUUUACUAAUAUAGAGAUUUGAG